GAAUAAGCGUCUCUCACAAGAAUAGUGCAGCAAUAACCAAAAGUACUACCAUGCUAUGCAACAAUCAAAAGCUGAAGCGAAAAUAACAAGGCAAUAAUUUCUCUGAUUGUGAAUUGUGAUGCGAUCGAAUCGGAGCAUGGAGGGAGGCAACAGAAAAGGGUACGCGUGGCCAGUAUCUGCUGGAUUCAACGCCGCUCGUGCAGCCAUUUCCGUUAAGCUCCCUCUUCACCAGUUUGUCAGGUACGGGAUGGUGUUAUUGUUCAAUGUCACCAUGUGGGCUUGUUAUGUCAACAGCCUUAAAGCUCUCUCCUCUCUUCAGGCAACUGUCACCAAUUUCGCUACCAAUUUCAUCUCUUCCGGUUUAGCCGGUUUCGUCUUCUUUCACGAAUCGCUCUCUUUCCAGUGGUUUGCAGGUGCCAUACUUAUAAUAAUUGGUGUAGUAAUACUUAGUAACUCAAGUUUUGAGAAGAAGCACAUUGUCACCUACCUACCUGGAAGUGUUAGGUGAUGUAAAGGCACUGCAUGUUCAACUUGGGUGACCUCAAACUCAAGUACUCAACAACCCUUCUGCAAGUUGGAAAGAUCAGAGAUCGAGAGAUGGGAAAGAGCAUGGGGGAGUUGAGAGUGGAGGAGUUGGUGAAUGCAGGAGGCAUAAGAGUGGAAGAAGGCAAUGAAUUAUACCGUGUUUUGAGGGAUAUCCUUUCUGAGUUUCAGUCUCCUUCACACAUAUGGCGCCAAACUGUGACUCGGAGACUGCUCAAACCAUCCUAUCCACACAUCAGCAUCUCUACUACUCUGUUUAUCACUCUCAACAUUCUUCCCUCCCACUCUAUUGCUUCCCUUCUCUAGAGCAAUCCAAACACACCAACCUGGGCUGUCUCAUGGAAACUCAUGCCCCUAACCUCUUAGGACCUUCCUACAAAGACCCCAUUACCAGUUUUCAUCUCUUUCACAAGUUUUUUGUUCAACACCCUCGGCUUUACUGGUCCCUUAUUCUCAAGGAACUUUCAGUUUCCUUUGUUGAACCUCCCAAGUGCAUUUUAGAUACUUCUGACCCUUCUAAACAUGGAGGGACUUGGCUCCCGGUUCUGUCCUCGACAUUGCUGAUAGCUGUUUGCAACCCAGUUCACAUCCUUACAAACCAGAUGAUAGUUUAGCCAUUGUUUGGAGAGAUGAAGGUUUUGAUGAUUCUGAGGUUUAAUCAUAUCAUGCUUAAACAAUUCCGGCACCAAGUAAUGUUGGUAGCAAAUGCAAUAGAUGUCACAUUCUCAAAAGGAGAUGCAAUCGCCAUUGACAUGCAAAUGACAGUCAAUGCUGUGAUUAUAUAUCUAGCCAUUGUUCUUGCAGGAUGUGUUGUUUGGUAUCAAUAGCUGAUAGCUUUGUUCCAAAAGAAAUUGCAACGUGUUUCUAAAGCAAAGGGUAUUUUCACUCAGCCAGAGGAUGUUGCUUGUGUUGGUGAAGUGGGCUUGUUUCCAAUAUAUAUGGGAGCGACUGAUAGAUUGCUUAAUGCGGAUAAUGAGGAGGUUUACUUUAAGGGAAUGCCCAUUUACAAAGGAAAGGUUCUUAGGAGACAUGGAGAUAUAAUCAAAAGAACUGCUGGAGGUCGUUUCAUUGGACAAGGGCGGGCUGAUGACACGAUGAAUCUUGGCGGAAUAAAGACAAGUUCUGUAGAAAUUGAGCAUGUCUGUGAUAGAGCCAACAAAGGCAUUUUGGAGACAGCUGCAAUCAGUGUUUCUCCUGCAAAUGGAGGCCCGGAACAACUGGUUAUAUUUGCAGUUUUAAAGAAAGGAUACAAUUCCAAUGCAGAAACUCUAAAAAGGAAAUUCAGUAAAGCCAUUCAAAGUAACCUUAAUCCUUUGUUUAAGGUGAGCCUUGUUAAAAUUGUGCCCGACUUUCCCCGAACAGCUUCCAACAAAUUACUAAGGAGAGUUUUGAGAGAUCAAAUGAAGCGUGAGCUAUCAAUUCAGAGCAGACUUUAGUAACAUUAUUAAUUCAGUCCAUUCCCUAUGUCUAGAAUACAUUUAUACUGGGUGUGAGGUCUUUGGCGUGUAAUCAAAUGGUGAACAUUUGAUAUUAUUAGUGGGAAAUCCUUCACUUUAUUAAGUCGUAACAUUGUUUAUUGUCAUCCAUUUUUGUCUUCUUUUAAUGUAAAAUAAUGGAAUAUAAAGUAAAAAGAAAUAAAAUGCAGAGUUUAAUUUUAAUGUAGAA
RNA transcript from Glycine soja, 2208 nucleotides. It is a transcript of the gene named probable acyl-activating enzyme 18, peroxisomal, with no coding region annotated. Lineage: Eukaryota; Viridiplantae; Streptophyta; Magnoliopsida; Fabales; Fabaceae. The transcript has 11 exons. The record is from RefSeq and is a predicted model, not a curated record.